Molecule: ribosomal RNA, 450 nt
Filed under: uncultured bacterium
Lineage: Bacteria
Description: partial 16S ribosomal RNA
Rfam family: Bacterial small subunit ribosomal RNA
Source: RNAcentral
GUGGGGAAUAUUGGACAAUGGGCGAAAGCCUGAUCCAGCCAUGCGGCGUGUGUGAAGAAGGUCUUCGGAUUGUAAAGCACUUUAAGUUGGGAGGAAGGGUAGUAACCUAAUACGUUGCUACUUUGACGUUACCGACAGAAUAAGCACCGGCUAACUUCGUGCCAGCAGCCGCGGUAAUACGAAGGGUGCAAGCGUUAAUCGGAAUUACUGGGCGUAAAGCGCGCGUAGGUGGUUCAGUAAGUUGGGAGUGAAAUCCCCGGGCUCAACCUGGGAACUGCUUUCAAAACUGCUGAGCUAGAGUACGGUAGAGGGUGGUGGAAUUUCCUGUGUAGCGGUGAAAUGCGUAGAUAUAGGAAGGAACACCAGUGGCGAAGGCGACCACCUGGACUGAUACUGACACUGAGGUGCGAAAGCGUGGGGAGCAAACAGGAUUAGAAACCCGGGUAGUCC